AAAUUGAAGAGUUUGAUCAUGGCUCAGAUUGAACGCUGGCGGCAGGCCUAACACAUGCAAGUCGAACGGUAACAGGAAGCAGCUUGCUGCUUUGCUGACGAGUGGCGGACGGGUGAGUAAUGUCUGGGAAACUGCCUGGUGGAGGGGGAUAACUACUGGAAACGGUAGCUAAUACCGCAUAACGUCGCAAGACCAAAGAGGGGGACCUUCGGGCCUCUUGCCAUCGGAUGUGCCCAGAUGGGAUUAGCUAGUAGGUGGGGUAACGGCUCACCUAGGCGACGAUCCCUAGCUG
Molecule: ribosomal RNA, 292 nt
Filed under: Escherichia coli
Lineage: Bacteria; Pseudomonadati; Pseudomonadota; Gammaproteobacteria; Enterobacterales; Enterobacteriaceae
Description: partial 16S ribosomal RNA
Rfam family: Bacterial small subunit ribosomal RNA
Source: RNAcentral